Non-coding RNA from Ciona savignyi (Pacific transparent sea squirt), 101 nucleotides. NCBI's taxonomy places the organism in Eukaryota, Metazoa, Chordata, Ascidiacea, Phlebobranchia, Cionidae. The record is from Rfam.
GCUUAUCACCAUUCCAGAUUGAAUAUACCCGAUCUCGUCUGAUCUCGGAAGUCAAGCAAUCUCGGGCUUGGUUAGUACUUGGAUGGGUGACCGCUUGGGAA